This is a small nucleolar RNA of Zalophus californianus (California sea lion), 135 nucleotides long. Its record names the gene SNORA71. It matches the Rfam family "Small nucleolar RNA SNORA71". From Rfam's summary of the family: The members of this family belong to the H/ACA class of snoRNAs which bind a number of proteins (including dyskerin, Gar1p and Nop10p) to form snoRNP complexes. This class of snoRNAs are thought to guide the sites of modification of uridines to pseudouridines by forming direct base pairing interactions with substrate RNAs. Lineage: Eukaryota; Metazoa; Chordata; Mammalia; Carnivora; Otariidae. The record is from Ensembl.
CCCUGCAUUCAAAAGCGAUCAUGGGCUGCCUGUGCUCUGGUCAAUUGAUAAUGCAGGGAGAGGAAUUGUUGAAAGUGGCUUCCCGUAUUUGGAGGGUCCACACCUGUCCCUUCCAAAUGCUGACGCUUUCACACA